AAUGUUCCCGUCAAUAUACUUUACGACAAUAAACAGUUUACAUACAGUUAGUCGUCGUAAUGCAAUACACGCAGGUAUAGUAAACUUCAAACUAGUCCGGGGUCAUGUCAGGUCACAGUCCGGACUCACCUGUUCAAGAUUGUGUAUUACAUGGUUGAUCGCUGCUUAAAUGUCGUUUAUUGAUUUUUCCGAUGACUAUCGAAUAAUUAAAGAAAUAGAGAAAUGAAUAAAGGAAAAGCAAAAAGCAAAAAAGGAA
Molecule: long non-coding RNA, 256 nt
Filed under: Mytilus galloprovincialis (Mediterranean mussel)
Lineage: Eukaryota; Metazoa; Mollusca; Bivalvia; Mytilida; Mytilidae
Source: RNAcentral